This 254-nucleotide ribosomal RNA is filed under the name uncultured bacterium. RNAcentral's name for it is "partial 16S ribosomal RNA". It matches the Rfam family "Bacterial small subunit ribosomal RNA", at positions 524 to 776 of the family's 1533-position model. The record is from RNAcentral.
UACGAAGGGGGCUAGCGUUGUUCGGAAUCACUGGGCGUAAAGCGCACGCAGGCGGAUCGUUAAGUCAGGGGUGAAAUGCCGAGGCUCAACCUCGGAACUGCCUUUGAUACUGGCGAUCUUAGAGUCCGGGAGAGGUGAGUGGAACUCCGAGUGUAGAGGUGAAAUUCGUAGAUAUUCGGAAGAACACCAGUGGCGAAGGCGGCUCACUGGCCCGGUACUGACGCUGAUGUGCGAAAGCGUGGGGAGCAAACAGG